AACGAACGUUGGCGGCGUGGAUUAGGCAUGCAAGUCGCACGAGAAAGUCCCCUUCGGGGGGCGAGUAAAGUGGCGGACGGGUGAGUAACGCAUGGAUAACCUGCCUUCGAGAGAGGGAUA
Molecule: ribosomal RNA, 120 nt
Filed under: uncultured bacterium
Lineage: Bacteria
Description: partial 16S ribosomal RNA
Rfam family: Bacterial small subunit ribosomal RNA
Source: RNAcentral